This 1515-nucleotide ribosomal RNA is filed under the name Lactiplantibacillus plantarum. Its description in RNAcentral is "Lactobacillus plantarum partial 16S ribosomal RNA". It matches the Rfam family "Bacterial small subunit ribosomal RNA". Lineage: Bacteria; Bacillati; Bacillota; Bacilli; Lactobacillales; Lactobacillaceae. The record is from RNAcentral.
CUGGCUCAGGACGAACGCUGGCGGCGUGCCUAAUACAUGCAAGUCGAACGAACUCUGGUAUUGAUUGGUGCUUGCAUCAUGAUUUACAUUUGAGUGAGUGGCGAACUGGUGAGUAACACGUGGGAAACCUGCCCAGAAGCGGGGGAUAACACCUGGAAACAGAUGCUAAUACCGCAUAACAACUUGGACCGCAUGGUCCGAGCUUGAAAGAUGGCUUCGGCUAUCACUUUUGGAUGGUCCCGCGGCGUAUUAGCUAGAUGGUGGGGUAACGGCUCACCAUGGCAAUGAUACGUAGCCGACCUGAGAGGGUAAUCGGCCACAUUGGGACUGAGACACGGCCCAAACUCCUACGGGAGGCAGCAGUAGGGAAUCUUCCACAAUGGACGAAAGUCUGAUGGAGCAACGCCGCGUGAGUGAAGAAGGGUUUCGGCUCGUAAACUCUGUUGUUAAAGAAGAACAUAUCUGAGAGUAACUGUUCAGGUAUUGACGGUAUUUAACCAGAAAGCCACGGCUAACUACGUGCCAGCAGCCGCGGUAAUACAUAGGUGGCAAGCGUUGUCCGGAUUUAUUGGGCGUAAAGCGAGCGCAGGCGGUUUUUUAAGUCUGAUGUGAAAGCCUUCGGCUCAACCGAAGAAGUGCAUCGGAAACUGGGAAACUUGAGUGCAGAAGAGGACAGUGGAACUCCAUGUGUAGCGGUGAAAUGCGUAGAUAUAUGGAAGAACACCAGUGGCGAAGGCGGCUGUCUGGUCUGUAACUGACGCUGAGGCUCGAAAGUAUGGGUAGCAAACAGGAUUAGAUACCCUGGUAGUCCAUACCGUAAACGAUGAAUGCUAAGUGUUGGAGGGUUUCCGCCCUUCAGUGCUGCAGCUAACGCAUUAAGCAUUCCGCCUGGGGAGUACGGCCGCAAGGCUGAAACUCAAAGGAAUUGACGGGGGCCCGCACAAGCGGUGGAGCAUGUGGUUUAAUUCGAAGCUACGCGAAGAACCUUACCAGGUCUUGACAUACUAUGCAAAUCUAAGAGAUUAGACGUUCCCUUCGGGGACAUGGAUACAGGUGGUGCAUGGUUGUCGUCAGCUCGUGUCGUGAGAUGUUGGGUUAAGUCCCGCAACGAGCGCAACCCUUAUUAUCAGUUGCCAGCAUUAAGUUGGGCACUCUGGUGAGACUGCCGGUGACAAACCGGAGGAAGGUGGGGAUGACGUCAAAUCAUCAUGCCCCUUAUGACCUGGGCUACACACGUGCUACAAUGGAUGGUACAACGAGUUGCGAACUCGCGAGAGUAAGCUAAUCUCUUAAAGCCAUUCUCAGUUCGGAUUGUAGGCUGCAACUCGCCUACAUGAAGUCGGAAUCGCUAGUAAUCGCGGAUCAGCAUGCCGCGGUGAAUACGUUCCCGGGCCUUGUACACACCGCCCGUCACACCAUGAGAGUUUGUAACACCCAAAGUCGGUGGGGUAACCUUUUAGGAACCAGCCGCCUAAGGUGGGACAGAUGAUUAGGGUGAAGUCGUACAAAGGGUAA